GUUCAUACUGUGAUGCAAAGCAAAGUUGUUGCUACCCAACCACUGGCAAACCUGCAGCUGAUUUCGGCAUUCAUGGGCUUUGGCCUAAUUACAAUGAUGGGAAUUACCCUUCCAAUUGUGAUUCUGGUAACCCCUUCAAUCAAAAUAAGAUUUCAGAUCUAAGAAGCAGUAUGGAAAAAAAUUGGCCAACACUGGCUUGCCCAAGCGGCAAUGGAUUGACCUUUUGGUCACAUGAAUGGGAAAAGCAUGGUACCUGCUCUGAGUCGAUCCUUGACCAACAUGGCUACUUCGAGGCUGCCCUUGACUUGAAAAAGCAAGUAAAUCUCCUCCAAGCUCUUCAGAGCGCAGGAAUACAACCAAAUGGGGGAACAUACGGCUUGAGCAGCAUCAGGAGUGCAAUACAAGGAGCAAUAGGCUAUACUCCAUGGAUAGAAUGCAAUACUGAUGAAUCAGGCAACAGCCAGCUUUACCAAAUUUACUUGUGUGUGGAUACUUCUGGAUCAAACCUCAUUGAAUGCCCAGUGUUUCCAAGUGGAAAAUGUGGCUCAGAGAUUGAGUUCCCCUCCUUUUAGAACACCAAAUUGUCAAUUGAUGCUUCCUUUUCUCUUUUAUUCACUAAUUUUCAGUUCAUUACAGUCCUUAAUUUGUCUCUCAAGUGAGCAUUGUAGCUUCCUGGAGAUAAUAAAAUCAUUAGAUAUGUCCA
RNAcentral lists this unclassified non-coding RNA (703 nucleotides) under Hevea brasiliensis (rubber tree). Lineage: Eukaryota; Viridiplantae; Streptophyta; Magnoliopsida; Malpighiales; Euphorbiaceae. The record is from RNAcentral.